Molecule: transfer RNA, 56 nt
Filed under: Ovis aries (sheep)
Lineage: Eukaryota; Metazoa; Chordata; Mammalia; Artiodactyla; Bovidae
Rfam family: tRNA
About the family: Transfer RNA (tRNA) molecules are approximately 80 nucleotides in length. Their secondary structure includes four short double-helical elements and three loops (D, anti-codon, and T loops). Further hydrogen bonds mediate the characteristic L-shaped molecular structure. tRNAs have two regions of fundamental functional importance: the anti-codon, which is responsible for specific mRNA codon recognition, and the 3' end, to which the tRNAs corresponding amino acid is attached (by aminoacyl-tRNA synthetases). tRNAs cope with the degeneracy of the genetic code in two manners: having more than one tRNA (with a specific anti-codon) for a particular amino acid; and 'wobble' base-pairing, i.e. permitting non-standard base-pairing at the 3rd anti-codon position.
Source: Rfam by way of RNAcentral
UGGCUCAGACAGUAAAGCAUCUGCCUGCAAUGCAGGAGACCGGGGUUCGAUCCCUG